Molecule: long non-coding RNA, 1389 nt
Filed under: Mus musculus (house mouse)
Lineage: Eukaryota; Metazoa; Chordata; Mammalia; Rodentia; Muridae
Description: long non-coding RNA chr9:119437259-119438648
Source: RNAcentral
AGCUGUUGCAUCUUUUUGGGCUUUUGGAGACACAGCUUUGGACGUGAUCAAGCCUGGUCCACAUCUCAGGCAGGACUUGUAGAGGACAGCUUUCCUAAAAGUGUGGGAAACCGCCAGGAAGGGAUGGUGUCCCAGGAAUCCUUUCCUCUCAGAACCUGGAGACAUGGCUUUUUCUUCAUCCCUGGCUGUCUGUAAAGGCUAAAUUGAGAAGUGCUCAGCAGCUGGCUUGUCCAGCGCAGUGAUGAGGUUAAACCUCAGCUAACAUCAUGUUAUAUAAGUAGGCCCAGUAACUCAGCUGAUGGGUUUCUUAGAAUCUAGAUGCUAAACGCUCCAUGCAUUCAAGAUUAAAUGCCUAGUUCUUCUUCACACACAGUUCUGGGUAGUUGACUCGUAGCCAGCAGCCCUCCUGUGGAUGUACCCCAGACCUUUAGAAAGAUGUUGAGGAAAGUGCUUUUUGCGAUACCAAUUUAGUUUUAUAGGAAAAAGAAACUGAAGGUCAAAACACUCCCUUGGAAAUCAACUAGUUGGUUCAACCACGUUAAAGAAGAAAGGAAGAAGGAAAGAGAGUUUAAGAGGCGCGUGAACUAUCGUAUCAAUAAGUAUGCCCAAGUUCUUUUGUGGGAUCCUUGGGAUAGUGCUAUUUGGACCUAUCUGUGAUUAAUGACUGUGAACCACUGUUGGGCUGACCGUUUGCAGUGAGAUCAGGAAUGCCUGCGUCUGCUGGCACUAAACCAAGCUGUAGCAUUUUCAUGCUGGCAUCUUCCAGGUGUGAAGGAAGCAAGACUUUGCCCUCCUGGUGCUCCGUGGAGCUCCUUAGUGCCCAGACCAGCGCCAUUUCCCCCAUCCACGGCAGCUCCGGGCCAUGAUUUCCCCAAGAAUUAAAGUUCCUGUUCCUCAUGCCGGUGAGGGGUAGUGGGCUCUGCGCUGACCCCUUGCUCUCCAGGCCGGUGUCUACACUGCUUAGGCUGAGUUAGUGUGUGCAGCCCUAUGGGUGCGUGUGGUAAUCGAUUCAGACGGGUGUUCUGAACACCUGCAGAGAACAGUUACUGCAUUCGGUUGUAGACUUUGUGCUUUUGAGUUUACAGUUGGGGGAAGUGUGACCCAUUAGUUUUUUCAGGCACGUGAAGGUGGGUUAUUGUGAAUAAACGAGCAUUGCCUCAAGUCCUGGGGCACCCACCCUGCAUGGGCCCAUUCUGGCUCCUGGUCACUUUACACCAGUGUUGUUAGAUAGUGCUGUAAAUAAGAGUAAGUUAUAUAACAGACGCCACUUGAAAUUUUACUUUAAGAAGUCUAUAGCUCCACACAUAUAUUUAGUUAUAUCUCUUGACAGAUUGCCUCCACACAGUAUGGAGAUUGUUUUAUACCACAGAUUAUUUUUAUAAACUAGUG